CAGCAGCCGCGGUAAUACGGAGGGGGCUAGCGUUGUUCGGAAUUACUGGGCGUAAAGCGCACGUAGGCGGCUUGGUAAGUUAGAGGUGAAAGCCUGGAGCUCAACUCCAGAAUUGCCUUUAAGACUGCCGAGCUAGCAGGUGAGAGAGGUAAGUGGAAUUCCGAGUGUAGAGGUGAAAUUCGUAGAUAUUCGGAAGAACACCAGUGGCGAAGGCGGCUUACUGGCUCAUACUGGACGCUGAGGUGCGAAAGCGUGGGGAGCAAACAGGAUUAGAUACCCGGGUAGUCCCUGUCUCUUAUAA
RNAcentral lists this ribosomal RNA (301 nucleotides) under uncultured bacterium. RNAcentral describes it as "partial 16S ribosomal RNA". It matches the Rfam family "Bacterial small subunit ribosomal RNA", at positions 509 to 809 of the family's 1533-position model. The record is from RNAcentral.